CCUACGGGAGGCAGCAGUGGGGAAUUUUGGACAAUGGGCGCAAGCCUGAUCCAGCAAUGCCGCGUGCAGGAUGAAGGCCUUCGGGUUGUAAACUGCUUUUGUACGGAACGAAACGGUGAGCUCUAAUACAGUUUGCUAAUGACGGUACCGUAAGAAUAAGCACCGGCUAACUACGUGCCAGCAGCCGCGGUAAUACGUAGGGUGCGAGCGUUAAUCGGAAUUACUGGGCGUAAAGCGUGCGCAGGCGGUGAUGUAAGACAGAUGUGAAAUGCCCGGGCUCAACCUGGGACCUGCAUUUGUGACUGCAUCGCUAGAGUACGGUAGAGGGGGAUGGAAUUCCGCGUGUAGCAGUGAAAUGCGUAGAUAUGCGGAGGAACACCGAUGGCGAAGGCAAUCCCCUGGACCUGUACUGACGCUCAUGCACGAAAGCGUGGGGAGCAAACAGGAUUAGAUACCCUGGUAGUCCACGCCCUAAACGAUGUCAACUGGUUGUUGGGUCUUCACUGACUCAGUAACGAAGCUAACGCGUGAAGUUGACCGCCUGGGGAGUACGGCCGCGAAGGUUGAAACGUCAAAGGAUUGACGGCGNGAGAGNGCGAGGCGACGACGAGGGAGGAGG
This 619-nucleotide ribosomal RNA is filed under the name uncultured bacterium. Its description in RNAcentral is "bacterial SSU rRNA". It matches the Rfam family "Bacterial small subunit ribosomal RNA", at positions 338 to 947 of the family's 1533-position model. The record is from RNAcentral.